GUUUUCUCAGGGCGAGAGGAAGGUGGAGAUUUGGCUUAUUAUUAUUAACAGCGAGGAGCUCGCUCCUGUCGCACACGCCGGGGAGAGCGGUGGGAGGAGGCAGUGCCGGGGGAGGCGGCGGCGGAGCGCGCCCCAGUACCGGGCUCCCUGCGCGGCUGCGGCGCAAACACGCGGGGCUCGGCGCAGCCCCCGCCGCGCCCUCCUGGUCCCCCAGCCCAGCCCCUCACCCUCCGCCGGGGGGAAAGUUCCGCGGGCAGCCGCCGGCGCGGCACCUCGCGGCCGGCGCCUCCCCAUCCCCAGUUCCGCGGGGGCGGCGUGGCUCCGCGGCCGCCAAAGUUGCGGCGGGGCCGGGGGGCUGCCGCCGCCGCCGGCCAUCAAGUGGCUCGUUAAGGAAAUGCAGGUGAGCGGGCUGAGAGGCGGCGGGGGCUGCGCGGGGCCCCGCGGGGGGCGCGCCCCCCGGCCCGGCCCUCUCAGCCCCUCCGGGCCGCUCGCCGCCCGCCUGUAGACGGCAGUGCUUGCACCGAGCGCCGGCGGCCGCCGCACCCGCGGCGAGAGCCGCUCCAGCGCCCCCCGCCCCGCACACACACACAGACACACACACACGCACACACGCACACCCCCACCCCUCCUCCCCACCCCUCGCUCGCUCCCUCUCUCCUCCCUCUUGUCGCUCUUUUCCUCCCUCCCUCUCUCUCUCUCUGCCGGCCUCAUCGGAGAGAGUUGCAGUUCCUUCUGGGCCUGUGUGGACUAGGGGCACAACGCGGCGCUUGACUGGCAGGAGGGGAAAGCGGAGACUCCUUCAGGUUUCCAAAGAGGUCCGAGUGGACAGCAUUAAUUAUAACAUGGGAGACAUCAGUGAAAUGAUCCAGGACAACUUCCUUAGCAUUCUUAAAUUGCUAAAGAUGUUCUGGUAUUUUGUGUGCUGUAUUAUUAAUUUCCUGAAGAAAUAGUACGGUUUCAGAAAUUCAUCUGAAGGCUUUUCUUCCAGACUCUCCAUGAAUGAUUUUUCUAUAAUGUAUGUACUUUUUUACGUAUUUAUGAGAACAUAAGAACACCAUCCUGGAAAUAUACCUUUAUGUGAACCUAUAUGGAUCUGAUGUAAUCCAUUGUCUGUUGAAGUUAAUGAGAACACAAUCCAUAAAUAACGCUUCUGAAAGACAAUGUCUACCUUCAGUAGGUAACAUAAGAUGAAUUUGUUUGUAAUAUAGUCGGAAUUACAGCAUAGUAAGUUUACUUGAGUUUCUGUGGUGGAAGAGCAGGACUUUAAUUAUUAGAAUGCAAGACCAUUGCAUUUCAUACAUGGGUACCUUCUUUGUAACUGUCUGAGUUGUCACUCUUUCCUAAAUACAAGGUGUGUAAUAGGUAAUAAUUAUAUCUGUUACUAAAUCCAAGUAAAAAUAUGUGAUUAUUAUUUUAUAGCAACCAAUAUCUGCACAUCUGUUUUUUUGGGAUAUAGUUAUGCAGUUCUGAGCUUUAUUUCUAAAUAGCCCUAUAUUAUCCAUAUGGAAAAGACCUGAAUUAAUUAAAAUAAACAAAUCUUUUAAGAUAGUUUGUUACAUACAGUGCAAUUUUUGUUGAAAAGAUUAAUUUACCCCCAUUUCUUCAAAGUGACGUGCUUAUCAGUGGUCAGUACAGGUCUAACAUGUCUGUGAGGCUUGUGAAGUAUGUGGUAAGUAUACAUGGUGGAUGAAUAUAUAAUACAAUGAAUAAUUUUUAAUGAUCUCAAAAGAAACAGUAUAAGACUGAUUUUUUUUAGAUUUGAAAAAGGCAUCGGGGCCUUUGUAUAAUAUGACUUUCAAAUUGUUCAUGGAAAUUGCUUGAUCAUGCACACUAUGUUAAGAAAUCUGCUGGGGCUCCUAAAAUGUAGCUGAUUUUUACUGUUGUAAUUGCUGGGAUAAAAAAAAAUUAGUAUUCACUUCACUCUUCACUAGACCUAAUCUUGAUCCAAAAAGUAAAUUGAAAGUAAGUUGAUCUACUGUUUGCCCAAACAGUAGUUAAACAUAUUUUAGAAAAUUUACAGUCCUGUAUAAAACAGUUGUGCAGAAGUAUUCUAGAGGUUGCAUAAGAACUGAGAUGAAUUCAAUGUUAAAGUUGUUAAUGCUCUAUUAGUAGUAGAUUUCCACUGUUCUUUUGUACAGUGUACAAGUGAUUCAGUAUAAAUACUGGAUAGGAUUCAGAAAGAAAAUGCUUUUUAAGAAGUGGUGACUGAGUGUUUCUCCUUCAAAAUAUAUUCUCACCUACAGAGCCUGGGAGACAUUGAAUUUGUCCCCUACCUGACAAAAAUCUUUAUUUUAUGCAUCAAAGUACUGCUCAAAGAAGUGAUAAAAUCUUCUGUACUGUUAACAUUUUGGAAAAAUCUUUUAUUGCAUAUUGUGCUUUGCUUGUUAUUUGAAGAAUUCGUGGGCCAGAUAAAUAUGUUUCACACAAAGAGUCUUUUUCAAAGGUUUGUCAAAAUAGCCAAGAGUCUAGUAAAAAGGUUAAAGUUUUGAUGCUUGUGGUAGGGGAGGUUUGUAUUGGUUUGGGUUUUUGCCUUUUUUUUUUAAUGUCUAGUUGAUACUUGAAGUGUGUAAGUCAACUCAUUCUCGAAUAUGAAAGAGUUUCCAUAAAUAUGAAAUGUCUAAUUUACUUUUCUCCCUGUCUCUGAGUUUAAGUGACGUUAUGAGAUAUUGGACCUUGAAUAAUACCGGCAAAAUCAAUUAAUAUUUCUUAUUACUGCUGUAAGGAUGUAAAUUAUGUUAGGAGCCUCAGCUCCUUCCUGAAAACUAUGCACAAAGAUCCAGUUCCAUAAUAUUUUUGAGAGUCUGCAAUAGUGCACUACUCUGGUGUCAAGAUGUUCUUCCAUAGUUGCAUGUUUCUAUAAAGAUAAUUUCUGUAUCCCUCCCUCUUUUUGACUUACUUAAUGUAAGCAUUUAUGACGGGAGACCCCAAAUAAGCCAUGAAGGAAAACCAGAUUUUUGGAAAAUUCAGAUAUAUAAAGAUGACUUUCAGUACAAAGCUGUGUGCAUUAACACUUUAUAAAAAGCUAUAUUAAUUUUGAAUACAUGGAAGGUUUUUCUGAUUUUAUCAUCUAUUAAAAAAAUUAUGUUUUUUCGGGCUGAAACAAAUAGAGCCCAUCUGGUCUUAAACUGAACAGGAGAAACACUACAGAGAAAGAGAGAGAGUGAGAGUACAAAAAACAAUCUAAAAUAUCCUUAACUAAUUUUUCCAAAGCAUAGUGCUUAAUUUCCUUAUUGUUUUCUUUUAUAGUAUCUGUCAGAAUUUCAAAAUUUUUGUCCUUUUAGAAAAGUAAAAUUACGACAUGCCAUUUUAAAUAUGACUAGAUGUUUUUAAAAUCUCUCUAUACAUUUCUGUGAUUUUGACCUAAAAAAUCAAUUAUGAGUUUAUUUAUUAAAAUCUGCUUUAGUUAGUUGAAAUUUUAGUUCCUCCUAAGUUUAACUCCUUCCACUUCCAUCAUGG
This 3456-nucleotide long non-coding RNA is filed under the name Corvus moneduloides (New Caledonian crow). RNAcentral describes it as "lncRNA (ENSCMUG00000018511.1)". Lineage: Eukaryota; Metazoa; Chordata; Aves; Passeriformes; Corvidae. The record is from RNAcentral.